Molecule: ribosomal RNA, 276 nt
Filed under: uncultured bacterium
Lineage: Bacteria
Description: partial 16S ribosomal RNA
Source: RNAcentral
CUGCUGCCUCCCGUAGGAGUCUGGUCCGUGUCUCAGUACCAGUGUGAGGGACCUUCCUCUCAGAACCCCUACGCAUCGUCGCCUUGGUGGGCCGUUACCCCGCCAACUAGCUAAUGCGACGCAUGACCAUCCGUAGCCGGAAUCGCUUCCUUUAAACCCGAGGAGAUGCCUCCUCGGGUUGUUACGCGGUAUUAGACGGAAUUUCUUCCGCUUAUCCCCCUGCUACGGGCAGGUUUCAUACGUGUUACUCACCCGUGCGCCGGUCGCCGGCGGGAG